RNAcentral lists this ribosomal RNA (398 nucleotides) under uncultured bacterium. RNAcentral's name for it is "partial 16S ribosomal RNA". It matches the Rfam family "Bacterial small subunit ribosomal RNA", at positions 523 to 918 of the family's 1533-position model. The record is from RNAcentral.
AUACGUAGGGUGCGAGCGUUGUCCGGAAUUACUGGGCGUAAAGAGCUCGUAGGUGGUUUGUCGCGUCGUCUGUGAAAUUCCGGGGCUUAACUCCGGGCGUGCAGGCGAUACGGGCAUAACUUGAGUACUGUAGGGGAGACUGGAAUUCCUGGUGUAGCGGUGAAAUGCGCAGAUAUCAGGAGGAACACCGGUGGCGAAGGCGGGUCGCUGGGCAGUAACUGACGCUGAGGAGCGAAAGCAUGGGUAGCGAACAGGAUUAGAUACCCUGGUAGUCCAGGCCGUAAACGGUGGGCGCUAGGUGUAGGGGUCUUCCACGACUUCUGUGCCGUAGCUAACGCAUUAAGCGCCCCGCCUGGGGAGUACGGCCGCAAGGCUAAAACUCAAAGGAAUUGACGGGG